CCGCGCGUAGCUCAGUUGGAAGAGCAUUGGGCUAGUAUUCCAAAGGUCGUAGGUUCGAAUCCCACCGUGGCCGGG
RNAcentral lists this transfer RNA (75 nucleotides) under Paramuricea clavata. RNAcentral's name for it is "tRNA-Thr". The stretch from base 4 to 69 matches the Rfam family "tRNA". From Rfam's summary of the family: Transfer RNA (tRNA) molecules are approximately 80 nucleotides in length. Their secondary structure includes four short double-helical elements and three loops (D, anti-codon, and T loops). Lineage: Eukaryota; Metazoa; Cnidaria; Anthozoa; Malacalcyonacea; Plexauridae. The record is from RNAcentral.